Molecule: ribosomal RNA, 251 nt
Filed under: uncultured prokaryote
Description: partial 16S ribosomal RNA
Rfam family: Bacterial small subunit ribosomal RNA
Source: RNAcentral
ACGUAGGAGGCGAGCGUUAUCCGGAUUCACUGGGCGUAAAGCGCGUGCAGGCGGUUCGGUAAGUUGGGCGUGAAAUCUCCCGGCUCAACCGGGGGGGGUCGUUCGAUACUACCGGACUUGAGUGCGGUAGAGGAAAAUGGAAUUCCCGGUGUAGUGGUGAAAUGCGUAGAUAUCGGGAGGAACACCAGUGGCGAAAGUGAUUUUCUGGAUCGUUUCUGACGCUCAGACGCGAAAGCGAGGGUAGCAAACGG